Molecule: ribosomal RNA, 264 nt
Filed under: uncultured bacterium
Lineage: Bacteria
Description: partial 16S ribosomal RNA
Rfam family: Bacterial small subunit ribosomal RNA
Source: RNAcentral
CGUAGGUGCGAGCGUUGUCCGGAUUUAUUGGGCGGUAAAAGGGACGUCGUAGGUGGUUGAUCGCGUCGGAAGUGUAAAUCUUGGGGCUUAACCCUGAGCGUGCUUUCGAUAACGGUUGGACUUGAGGAAGGUAGGGGAGAAUGGAAGUUCCUGGUGGAGCGGUGGAAUGCGCAAGAUAUCAGGAGGAACACCAGUGGCGAAGGCGGUUCUCUGGGCCUUUCCUGACGGCUGAGGAGCGAAAAGCGUGGGGAGCGAAACAGGCUU